This 459-nucleotide ribosomal RNA is filed under the name uncultured bacterium. Its description in RNAcentral is "partial 16S ribosomal RNA". It matches the Rfam family "Bacterial small subunit ribosomal RNA", at positions 338 to 795 of the family's 1533-position model. The record is from RNAcentral.
CCUACGGUAGGCUGCAGUGAGGAAUAUUGGUCAAUGGGCGCGAGCCUGAACCAGCCAAGUCGCGUGAGGGAAUACGGUCCUAUGGAUUGUAAACCUCUUUUGUCGGGGAGCAAAAGACGCCACGCGUGGCGUUCCGAGAGUACCCGAAGAAAAAGCAUCGGCUAACUCCGGUCCAGCAGUCGAGGUAAUACGGCGGAUUCGAGAGUUAUCCGGAUUUAUUGGGUUUAAAGGGUGCGCAGGCGGAAUGUCAAGUCAGCGGUAAAAUUUCGGGGCUCAACCCCGUCGGGCCGUUGACACUGGCGUUCUUGAGUGAGCGAGAAGUAUGCGGAAUGCGUGGUGUAGCGGUGAAAUGCAUAGAUAUCACGCAGAACUCCGAUUGCGAAGGCAGCAUACCGGCGCCCAACUGACGCUGAAGCACGAAAGCGGGGGUAUCGAACAGGAUUAGAUACCCUAGUAGUC